Long non-coding RNA from Sander lucioperca (pikeperch), 807 nucleotides. RefSeq lists it as uncharacterized. The record is from RefSeq and is a predicted model, not a curated record. NCBI's taxonomy places the organism in Eukaryota, Metazoa, Chordata, Actinopteri, Perciformes, Percidae. The transcript has 3 exons.
AAGGGGGCAAGGGGGGCACAGGAUCUCUGAAAAGCUUAAUAACCCAUAUUGGGGUUGAAAGUAAAAUACAGUGACCAAGGAACAAGGUUGUGAUUUGAUCAAACAGGCAGCGUGAUUCAGGAAGAAGAGCAGCAGCGACAGUACCGUGUGCUUCUCCCUAUGACCAUGGCUGGCCGAUCCUUCACAUUUGCAGAUGGUUCAUGUGACAGAACAAUUACUCCUGUUAAGGGUUUUGUGGUUUUGUAAUUGUGGAACUGAAUUCAGAUUUGAAGUUUAUAGCCAGGUGUUGAACGAUGAAUGAAUAAAAACUAGCUGGGUUUUUCUAAAGCUGUGUCUGUCAGUUUUUGUAACAUUCCAUGGAACCACGAGAACAGAUUUUAAGGUUAUUGGCUGAUGUGUAAACAUGGCAGUCAAUCAAUCGACAAAUCAUCGAGCAUGAGCAGAGAACAAGGUAGCCUGGUGUAGCGGGGACCCUUAAAUGUAACUACCAUUUUUUUUUCAACCUGGACCCUAUUUUCCUAUGUUUUUGUCUAAGUGACUGAACAAUCUUUGACAUCAGUCCAGUACCUUCACAAAAGUGCUUGUUUUGACGCUGACAUGCUCAGAUUAAUAUUCUAAGUGUCUGACGACAUUAUGGAAAGGAUUACUAAGGAGGUCGACCUUUCUGUUAAAGAGUAAGAUCUUUUAGUUAAACGUAAAAAUAGCCGCGAAAUUGCGUUCGCUAAACCCACCAGACUCCAUGUAAAUAAACAAUAAUUUUAGCAUCGUGAAAUACACUUAAUUCAAAGUGAGACAGAACCUACAUUA